RNAcentral lists this small nuclear RNA (113 nucleotides) under Sorex araneus (European shrew). RNAcentral's name for it is "U5 spliceosomal RNA (ENSSARG00000014685.1)". It matches the Rfam family "U5 spliceosomal RNA". From Rfam's summary of the family: U5 RNA is a component of both types of known spliceosome. Lineage: Eukaryota; Metazoa; Chordata; Mammalia; Eulipotyphla; Soricidae. The record is from RNAcentral.
UAGCUCUGGUUUCUCUUCAGAUAGCAUAAAUCUCCUUUUACUAAAGAUUUCUAUGAAGAGAAACAGUAUGGAGUUGUAAAUCAAUUUUUUGAGGUCUCAUGUUGGGGGGGGGA